AACGUACGCUGGCGGCACGCCUAACACAUGCAAGUCGAACGAAGUAGCAAUACUUAGUGGCGAACGGGUGAGUAACACGUGAGCAAUCUGCCCCCGACUCUGGGAUAACCCCGAGAAAUCGGAGCUAAUACCGGAUACGACACCUCCUGGCAUCAGGUGGGUGUGGAAAGAAUUUCGGUUGGGGAUGAGCUCGCGGCCUAUCAGCUUGUUGGUGAGGUAAUGGCUCACCAAGGCGACGACGGGUAGCCGGCCUGAGAGGGUGACCGGCCACACUGGGACUGAGACACGGCCCAGACUCCUACGGGAGGCAGCAGUGGGGAAUAUUGCACAAUGGGCGCAAGCCUGAUGCAGCAACGCCGCGUGGGGGACGAAGGCCUUCGGGUUGUAAACCUCUUUUGGCAGGGAAGAAGCGAAAGUGACGGUACCUGCAGAAAAAGCACCGGCUAACUACG
RNAcentral lists this ribosomal RNA (452 nucleotides) under uncultured Microbacteriaceae bacterium. RNAcentral describes it as "bacterial SSU rRNA". It matches the Rfam family "Bacterial small subunit ribosomal RNA", at positions 29 to 505 of the family's 1533-position model. The record is from RNAcentral. Lineage: Bacteria; Bacillati; Actinomycetota; Actinomycetes; Micrococcales; Microbacteriaceae.